GUCCACAGGUUAGUGGUAGAACGUCUGCUUUUCAUGCAUAAGGUUCCUGGUUCAACCACCGGUGUCUCCAGGUAGUGAUG
Molecule: non-coding RNA, 80 nt
Organism: Podarcis lilfordi (Lilford's wall lizard)
Lineage: Eukaryota; Metazoa; Chordata; Lepidosauria; Squamata; Lacertidae
Source: the annotation of a GenBank genome assembly